RNAcentral lists this ribosomal RNA (164 nucleotides) under uncultured bacterium. RNAcentral's name for it is "partial 16S ribosomal RNA". It matches the Rfam family "Bacterial small subunit ribosomal RNA", at positions 355 to 511 of the family's 1533-position model. The record is from RNAcentral.
UAGGGAAUCUUCCACAAUGGGCGAAAGCCUGAUGGAGCAACGCCGCGUGUGUGAUGAAGGGUUUCGGCUUGUAAAACACUGUUGUAAGAGAAGAAUGACAUUGAGAGUAACUGUUCAAUGUGUGACGGUAUCUUACCAGAAAGGAACGGCUAAAUACGUGCCAG